Long non-coding RNA from Phascolarctos cinereus (koala), 869 nucleotides. RefSeq lists it as uncharacterized. Lineage: Eukaryota; Metazoa; Chordata; Mammalia; Diprotodontia; Phascolarctidae. The record is from RefSeq and is a predicted model, not a curated record.
UGCCUGCUGUUCCCUGGCUCGUGGCUGCGCCGGCCUUCCCUUCACUGCCCGUGUGGCGGGAGGCGACCCUUGGGCCCUCAAUUAGACUUGCUGCGUUGGUGGCUCUCUCAAGAGGGAAGAAAGAAGGGAUGGUGAUGCCUUGGCCUGGGAGGCCUCGAGGGCCAGCGGCCCCUCGCCCUCGGGCUGGACCCUGGAGAGGCCGCACUGGUCACUCCCAGACCCCGAGGGCCCCCCUAGAAGUCUCUCAGUUUUCCUGUUCGUGACCCAGCAGUUUCCAGCAUCAUUUCCACUGUACCAUGAUAUGUCUCGUGGAUCAUCAGACACUUUCCUGGCGGAAGGGGACAGAAGAGGCACAGAGUUGCUGAAGGAGAAAAAUAACUGUACGUAUGUCUGUGGAUCACAAUUUAAUUCAGCAGAACCUGUUUGGGCAGCAAACAGAUUGUGAAGAUAUCCUUUUUGCAAACUCUUCCUCCACUAUAGGACUUCCUUUCUUGGCUCUCACCAUUUUCUUUUUCUUCAUCCUUUGGAGACUCUACACAAUAAUUGCUUAGUUCUGGGGAAACCUGGUUCUUACUUCUUUUUAUGUAGUACUCUGUCAAAAAUUCUCUUUGAUUUCUGCCUUCAAUCCUGCCUGUUUAUACAUUUAGAAAGAAGUCUUUUACUGUCAGAGUGGAAAUUUUGAUGUCUUCAUAUUAGGAGUGUCCAGUCAGUUUUGAGUUUUCUGUAGAUUCAUUCGUCUCCAAGCUGCAUUCUGGAUUUUCUGUCCAAUAAGCCUUUAUUAAGGGUGCACUGUGUGCCAGACGGGCACUUCUUAUUGCUUUACAAAUAUAUAUUAUCCUCAUAACAGUCCUGGGAGAUAGAUGCUAUUA